RNAcentral lists this ribosomal RNA (291 nucleotides) under uncultured bacterium. RNAcentral describes it as "partial 16S ribosomal RNA". It matches the Rfam family "Archaeal small subunit ribosomal RNA", at positions 455 to 747 of the family's 1478-position model. The record is from RNAcentral.
GUGCAGCCGCGCGGUAAUACCGGCAGCCCGAGUGAUGGCCGAUAUUCUUGGGACUAAAGCGUCCGUAGCUGGCCGAACAAGUCCGUCGGGAAAUCCACGUGCUUAACGCGUGGGCGACCGGCGGAAACUGUCCGGCUUGGGGCCGGAGGACCCGAGGGGUACGUCCGGGGUAGGAGUGAAAUCCCGUAAUCCUGGACGGACCGCCGGUGGCGAAAGCGCCUCGGGAAGACGGACCCGACAGUGAGGGACGAAAGCUGGGAUCUCGAACCGGAUUAGAAACCCCUGUAGUCC